Molecule: long non-coding RNA, 1047 nt
Organism: Gallus gallus (chicken)
Lineage: Eukaryota; Metazoa; Chordata; Aves; Galliformes; Phasianidae
Source: Ensembl
GGGGAGAGCUCGUUGUGCUCUGCACUCUCUGAAAGGAGGCUGUGGCGAAGUGGGGGUUGGGCUUUUUUUCUCAGGUAACAGCGAUAGGAUGAGAGGGAACGGCCUCAAGUUGUGCCAGGGGAGGUUCAGGUUGGACAUUGGGAAAAAUUCUUCUCCCAAAGUGGUGAUGCAUUGGCAUCAGCAAGGAUGCCCAGUGAGGUGAUGGAGUGACUGGCCCUGGAUGUGUUCAAGAACUGUGUAGAUGUGUCACUGAGGGAUGUGGUCAGUGGGCGCUAUUGGUGGCAGGUGGAUGGUUGAACUAGAUGAUCUUCGUGGUCUUUUCCAACCUUACUGAUUCAAUGACUCACAUCGGCCUUUCUCUCUUACCAGUGGGAAGUAAGGAGGAAGAAUGCUUAGAAGAAAGGCUGAUGGCCUGUUUCCACCAGCAGUGGAGGAAAGAGUGAGGCAGGACUGGGAAGGAUAAAGCUAUUGCUGCCAGCUGGGAGCCAACAGACAGGCUGAGUUUCACGAGCAGCACUGCACCAACUGACAGAUGUCAUGCCCAGGCUGGCCUGCUUUAUGUAAGUCAACCAUUCCUGUGUUUAAAGGGUGCCAGAGGCACUUGCCAGCUGGUGAGGAUCUAUGCAGUUAAAGGGUGUGUUAAUCCAUAGUGACUGCUCUAUAAAUACAGACUUGGAUCUUAUUACUUGUCUGGUGAGCUCACGGUGCUCGUGUUUCCUUAGCAAUUGCUGCUGUUGUUGGCUUAAGCAAACAGAUAUGGUAUUAAAUGUUCACCACCCCUUGGUGCCCACUGCAGUGUUUCAAGAGUCCGUGCUUGGCUUCUCCCUGAGACUCAAACCUGUGAUGAUGGCUCUGCACAAUCCCCUUUCUGCAUGAGACUGCUUGUAUAGGAAGGCUGUAAUUUCUGCUCAGCAAUGUCUAGACAUACGUGGGGAUAGAGGCGUGACUGUGUUUAGAAAUGGGACCUGCUGAGUGGGAGUCCCAUGUUCAAACACCUGAGAAGGGACACAGUGUUUAUGAAGUAGAAAUCUGAGCACUGUUUGGAGC